AUGAACGCUGGCGGCGUGCCUAAUACAUGCAAGUCGCGCGAACAGGCGAGGAGCUUGCUCCUCUGACGUUAGCGGCGGACGGGUGAGUAACACGUGGAUAACCUACCUAUAAGACUGGGAUAACUUCGGGAAACCGGAGCUAAUACCGGAUAAUAUAUUGAACCGCAUGGUUCAAUAGUGAAAGACGGUUUUGCUGUCACUUAUAGAUGGAUCCGCGCCGCAUUAGCUAGUUGGUAAGGUAACGGCUUACCAAGGCAACGAUGCGUAGCCGACCUGAGAGGGUGAUCGGCCACACUGGAACUGAGACACGGUCCAGACUCCUACGGGAGGCAGCAGUAGGGAAUCUUCCGCAAUGGGCGAAAGCCUGACGGAGCAACGCCGCGUGAGUGAUGAAGGUCUUCGGAUCGUAAAACUCUGUUAUUAGGGAAGAACAAAUGUGUAAGUAACUAUGCACGUCUUGACGGCACCUAAUCAGAAAGCCACGGCUAACUACGUG
Molecule: ribosomal RNA, 496 nt
Filed under: uncultured bacterium
Lineage: Bacteria
Description: partial 16S ribosomal RNA
Rfam family: Bacterial small subunit ribosomal RNA
Source: RNAcentral